ACUGAAUGGGCUAGGGCAUACACCAAUGUACCAAACCCUAUCAAACUCCGAAUACCUAGUGUGUAAUCAUGGCAGUCAGGCGGCGAGUGAUAAAAUCCGUCGUCGAGAGGGGAACAACCCAGACUAACAGCUAAGGUCCCUAAAUCUCAUUUAAGUGGAAAACGAUGUGGAGUUACUUAAACAACCAGGAGGUUGGCUUAGAAGCAGCCAUCCUUUAAAGAAAGCGUAAUAGCUCACUGGUCUAGUGAUUCUGCGCGGAAAAUAUAACGGGGCUAAAAUGAGUACCGAAGCUUUAGACUUAGUUUUACUAAGUGGUAGGAGAGCGUUGCAUUCAGCGUCGAAGGUGUACCGGUAAGGAGCGCUGGAGCGAAUGCAAGUGAGCAUGCAGGCAUGAGUAGCGAUAAUUGGGGUGAGAAUCCCCAACGCCGUAAACCCAAGGUUUCCUACGCGAUGCUCGUCAUCGUAGGGUUAGCCGGGUCCUAAGCAAAGUCCGAAAGGGGUAUGCGAUGGAAAAUUGGUUAAUAUUCCAAUGCCAACUAUAAUGUGCGAUGGAAGGACGCUUAGAGUUAAGCAAGCUAGCGGAUGGUAGUGCUAGUCGAAAGGUGUAGGUUAAGAUCCAGGCAAAUCCGGAUCUUUUUAAGCCGAGACCCCACAGGCGUUUGAAGUUCUUCGGAAUGGAUAGCGAAUUGCUGAUACUGUCGAGCCAAGAAAAGUUUCUAAGUUUAGUUAUAGUUGCCCGUACCGUAAACCGACACAGGUGGGUGGGAUGAGUAUUCUAAGGCGCGUGGAAGAACUCUCUUCAAGGAACUCUGCAAAAUAGCACCGUAUCUUCGGUAUAAGGUGUGCCUAACUUUGUGAAGGAUUUACUCCGUAAGCAUUGAAGGUUACAACAAAGAGUCCCUCCCGACUGUUUACCAAAAACACAGCACUCUGCUAACUCGUAAGAGGAUGUAUAGGGUGUGACGCCUGCCCGGUGCUCGAAGGUUAAUUGAUGAUGUUAGCUUAUGCAAAGCAUCUGAUCGAAGCCCGAGUAAACGGCGGCCGUAACUAUAACGGUCCUAAGGUAGCGAAAUUCCUUGUCGGUUAAAUACCGACCUGCAUGAAUGGCGUAACGAGAUGGGAGCUGUCUCAAAGAGGGAUCCAGUGAAAUUGUAGUGGAGGUGAAAAUUCCUCCUACCCGCGGCAAGACGGAAAGACCCCGUGGACCUUUACUACAGCUUGACACUGCUAUUGGGAUAAAAAUGUGCAGGAUAGGUGGGAGGCUUUGAUCCAUAGACGCCAGUUUAUGGUGAGCCGUUGUUGAGAUACCACUCUUUUUUAUUCUGAUAGCUAACUAGCUUGAGUUAUCCUCAAGUAGGACAAUGUCUGGUGGGUAGUUUGACUGGGGCGGUCGCCUCCCAAAAUGUAACGGAGGCUUACAAAGGUUGGCUCAAAGCGGUUGGAAAUCGCUUGCAGAGUAUAAAGGCAAAAGCCAGCUUAACUGCGAGACAUACACGUCUAGCAGAGACGAAAGUCGGUCUUAGUGAUCCGGUGGUUCUGUGUGGAAGGGCCAUCGCUCAAAGGAUAAAAGGUACCCCGGGGAUAACAGGCUGAUCUCCCCCAAGAGCUCACAUCGACGGGGAGGUUUGGCACCUCGAUGUCGGCUCAUCGCAUCCUGGGGCUGGAGCAGGUCCCAAGGGUUGGGCUGUUCGCCCAUUAAAGCGGUACGCGAGCUGGGUUCAGAACGUCGUGAGACAGUUCGGUCCCUAUCUGCCGUGGGCGUAAGAAGAUUGAGGAGAGUUGACCCUAGUACGAGAGGACCGGGUUGAACCGACCACUGGUGUACCGGUUGUUCUGCCAAGAGCACCGCCGGGUAGCUAAGUCGGGAUGCGAUAAGAGCUGAAAGCAUCUAAGCUCGAAGCCGACUCCAAGAUGAAUCUUCUUUUAAGAGCUCUAGUAGACUACUAGUUUGAUAGGCCGGAUGUGUAAUGGAUGAAAGUCCUUUAGCUGACCGGUACUAAUAGCUCGUUUGCUUAUCUUUU
This 2021-nucleotide ribosomal RNA is filed under the name human oral metagenome. RNAcentral's name for it is "bacterial LSU rRNA". It matches the Rfam family "Bacterial large subunit ribosomal RNA", at positions 909 to 2925 of the family's 2925-position model. The record is from RNAcentral.